This 75-nucleotide transfer RNA is filed under the name Podarcis lilfordi (Lilford's wall lizard). Its description in RNAcentral is "tRNA.Ala". Lineage: Eukaryota; Metazoa; Chordata; Lepidosauria; Squamata; Lacertidae. The record is from RNAcentral.
GGAGAAGUGAUAGCUCAGUGGUAGAACAGUUGCUUUGCAUGCAGAAGGUCCCAGGUUCAACCCCCAGCAUCUCCA